UUUCGCAAUGCCCGAAAGGGUGACGAAGCGACGCCGCGUGGGUGAGGAAGGCCCUCGGGUUGUAAAGCCCUGUCAGGAGUUAAGAAAUGUAGAUUCGCUAAUAUCGGGUCUAUUUGACGAAGGCUCCAAAGGAAGCCACGGCUAACUCUGUGCCAGCAGCCGCGGUAAUACAGAGGUGGCAAGCGUUGUUCGGAAUUAUUGGGCGUAAAGAGCACGUAGGUGGAUUUGUAAGUCAGAUGUGAAAGCCUUCUGUUCAACGGGAGAAUUGCAUCUGAAACUACAGACCUUGAGUAUAGGAGGGGAGAAUGGAACUUCUGGUGGAGCGGUGAAAUGCGUAGAUAUCAGAAGGAGCGCCGGCGGCGAAAGCGAUUCUCUGGCCUAUUACUGACACUCAGUGUGCGGAAGCUAGGGGAGCAAACGGGAUUAGAUACCCCGGUAGUCCUAGCCGUAAACGAUGGGCACUAAGUAGAGGGGUUUUA
Molecule: ribosomal RNA, 479 nt
Filed under: uncultured bacterium
Lineage: Bacteria
Description: bacterial SSU rRNA
Rfam family: Bacterial small subunit ribosomal RNA
Source: RNAcentral